AGAUCUUUAAGCUGCUCUCUUGAAGUUGAAAGGCAAGUGAGAAAUGUGGCGAGAGCAGGAGGAAUUUCCAUUGACAGGGCAGAGAGCACGUUUGUCAGAUACUCGAUGUCGACAGACAACUGUUGUGCUCCACGAUCAGUUACAUGUUGUAUCCCACGCAAUUGCUCCGUGUAAAGUGCAGCUGUACCCUCGGCAACCUUUAGAAAACAAACAAGAUCUAGUUGGUAGUACAUUACGAAUUUUUUACGCACGCCUUAACUAAUCUUACGGUACAACUAGUCUAACCUACAAUAUUUGCUCGUAGGAUACUAAACUCUAUGUAGACUACCGUAGAUUGAACCCAUUACCUCUUAACCCUUUUACCAAACCUAAACCUUUUAUUUACUUUACUACUGGAUCAAUCCAUGAUCAUAGAUUACAAAGCUAUAAACAUUUGGUCAUGUUACAUUGGUACUCUACAUAGUAUAUGCUCUACGUUUUGGUAACUAACACUGAGAUUCUGGAUAAUUGCAAUGAGUAUCUAUAAUGAGGACACCCGAGUUAGACAAGAAUUUCAUAGCAAUGAUGAUGCAAUGCUUUUUUUCCGUCGGUAACUUUGAAGUUUAAUAGUGAGUAAUGGGGUUGCUUUCUUCAACUUCUUUAAUGUAUAAAUGUACUUUCCCUCUUUUAUUACCGAUGGGACUUCUUUUCUACUCACCUGGUUUCAUGCACGCCGGUUUCUUUAAAUGAUAUAUGAAGCAAACAGAAACUAUGUGUAGGAGGAAGUCUAGUUUGUUUAGAAUUUGAGAGGGAAACUUAAAAAUCGCAAUAUUGGGUCAAAUUUUUUAAAUUUAAAUGAAUGUAGCUAUGGUACCUUGCACAUCCAUUCUGCAGCAAAAAACUGAGCCUCGUCAUUGUUUGCAUUGCUAUUAGAGAUACCCUCGGCAAGUGGCUCCAGCUGUUGGGGUAAAGUGAGAAGAUAUUCACCAACACUGGUAACGUAAGACUGGGGGUAAGAGCUGAAUGUUGGAAGAGGUAAGGCACUAUGUUCCUCAACCGAAGACCAUAUUGGCAAACGAGAUACAUCACUUAGGCGUUGUCGUACUUUGGAUAUGAGAACAUCAUAUACGAGUUCGUUAACCUUGUCUGCAAAUGCUGAAACUCUCUGAGAUGCAAGUGGAAGAGCAUGGAAACGUGGAUCUUUUGACUGCAUGACAUUAAAGAAACUACUCAGAUGCCAAAACAGAGAGAAAGACCAAUGGAGCCCAAAAUCUAAGCGGCAAUUGACAAGCGAAAAACAAUAGAAUACAAUUAAGCAGCUGUUAAACUUCUCCCUUUCUCUCUCCAACUUCUUAAAAAGGAAGGUGGUUUGGCAUUUUCUGAGGUUGGUAAUGGUAUGGUCAAAGAUGAUCCGACUACUUAGCUUGAAUGGGAUCAGUUGAAACCAAAAUCUAAGAGCAUGGUCGACACACGAUAUACCUUCAUCUAUAAAAUAGAAUUUGAUCUCUAUCUAGUUUUGAAGAAAAUUUAUAAAUGAAAAUACUACAAAUCUAUCUGGAAAGCAGAGAAACAGGCAUCUCACAGGAAAAAAAAGUAAGGGGAAAAGGAGAAGUAAAAGUGAUUGAAAAAUUGAUUAACCUGAUCUAAGAGGUUGAAAAGUUUUUUUGCCUUCUCAGGAACAUCAACAAGGCGAAUAGCUGCCAUAUCCAAGGCAGCCCUGCCACCCAUAGUCACUUCCCUAUUGCUGUAAUCGCCAACUAUGUGAGACUGAUUUUGGUCCAAACUCGAACCAAAGACUGAAACAGAUAAGGUUGUGCUCAGUCUGGCAAGAGUAGCCCUCAAAGAAGCUUCAAAUACAGAAGACCUGCUAGUCAAACAAUCAGCCACAGUUAGC
RNAcentral lists this long non-coding RNA (1873 nucleotides) under Cucumis sativus (cucumber). Its description in RNAcentral is "long non-coding RNA (CSAT_LNC000965)". Lineage: Eukaryota; Viridiplantae; Streptophyta; Magnoliopsida; Cucurbitales; Cucurbitaceae. The record is from RNAcentral.